GACGAACGCUGGCGGCGUGCUUAACACAUGCAAGUCGAACGAAGAGCUAUGGAGGAUUGCUUCUAUCACUCUUAGUGGCGGCCGUGUGAGUCACGCGUAAUCAACCUUCCCUUCAGAGGGGGACAGCAGUUGGAAACGACUUCUGGUACCGCAUCCGCUCUAAUCUCGGCAUCUAGGAUAGAUGGAAGGUGGCUUCCUCAUGUAAGCUAUCACUGAAGGAGGUGAUUGCGUCUGGUUAGCUAGUUGGAGGGGUAACGGCCCACUUAGGCGAUGGUCAGUAGCCGGACUGCGAGGAUGAACGGCCUGAUUGGGAAGGAGACACGGCUCAGACUGCUACGUGAGGCAGCAGUGGCGGAUCUUUUGCAAUGGACGAAAGGCUGACGGAGGAACGCCGCGUGAGUCAUGACGGCGCUCGGGUUGCAAAGCUCAGUUAAUCGGGACGAAAGGCGUUCUGGCGAUAAGGGAGAAGGAUUGACGGUACCGGAAUAGAAAGACACGGAUAACUACGUG
This 510-nucleotide ribosomal RNA is filed under the name uncultured bacterium. RNAcentral's name for it is "partial 16S ribosomal RNA". It matches the Rfam family "Bacterial small subunit ribosomal RNA", at positions 28 to 507 of the family's 1533-position model. The record is from RNAcentral.